RNAcentral lists this long non-coding RNA (274 nucleotides) under Homo sapiens (human). RNAcentral's name for it is "HSALNT0282451". The record is from RNAcentral. Lineage: Eukaryota; Metazoa; Chordata; Mammalia; Primates; Hominidae.
GUACUGCCGACGCAGCGCUGGGGGGUGCCCAGCCUUGGCAUUCUCCCGCAGCAGCUGGCUGCGCCGGCGGAUAUACUGCGUCCGAAACUGUGGAAACGUUGGUGGGCAUGCCCACGCAGCCGCAUAAGGCAAGUUCUCCGCCCAGCCUCACUUAUCGCCAUUGCGCAUGCACCACGCUCCAGGCAAGAUGGCUGCCUGCUAUCAGAAAGAACUGCCGAGCCCAGAGCGAAUCGAUAGGCAUCCUUCCCAGGGCGUGGGAGUCUCGCAGGCGCAU